AAGCAAGAGACGUCCUUCAUUAUGUUUGCAAAGAAGAAAAUCAAGUUUGCAACAUUUAAAAUGUUCCUAAACGAAGCAAUAACUUUUUGUACCAAGAGGCUGAUACGAUAAAACAGCUGCUGCUCAGGAGCUGUGGACCCUUCCUGUAGUUGGGUUACUCAGCAACAGUGUGAUCAUCAGCACUAGUUUGGUUUUGGCAGCUUUUUGAUAUGGACAUAUUAUGAGGAUGGAAAACCAAUGGACUAUUUAUG
Molecule: long non-coding RNA, 251 nt
Organism: Malaclemys terrapin pileata
Lineage: Eukaryota; Metazoa; Chordata; Testudines; Emydidae
Exons: 3
Source: RefSeq, a predicted model, not a curated record